Molecule: ribosomal RNA, 466 nt
Filed under: uncultured bacterium
Lineage: Bacteria
Description: partial 16S ribosomal RNA
Rfam family: Bacterial small subunit ribosomal RNA
Source: RNAcentral
GACGAACGCUGGCGGCGUGCUUAACACAUGCAAGUCGAACGGAAGGGCCCUGCUUGCAGGGUACUCGAGUGGCGAACGGGUGAGUAACACGUGGGUGAUCUGCCCUGCACUUCGGGAUAAGCUUGGGAAACUGGGUCUAAUACCGGAUAGGAGCCAUCUUUAGUGUGGUGGUUGGAAAGUUUUUUCGGUGUAGGAUGAGCUCGCGGCCUAUCAGCUUGUUGGUGGGGUAAUGGCCUACCAAGGCGGCGACGGGUAGCCGGCCUGAGAGGGUGUACGGCCACAUUGGGACUGAGAGACGGCCCAGACUCCUACGGGAGGCAGCAGUGGGGAAUAUUGCACAAUGGGCGCAAGCCUGAUGCAGCGACGCCGCGUGGGGGAUGAAGGCCUUCGGGUUGUAAACUCCUUUCGCUAGGGACGAAGCUUUUUUGUGACGGUACCUAGAGAAGAAGCACCGGCUAACUACGUG